UACUCUAUUCUCUGAGGGACAGUAAGUAAUUUCUUUUAAGAAUUUGGGGUUAGGGUUUCGAAUUUUCAAUUUGGCUUGUUUCAAAUUGUUGCCUUCAAUUUGGGUUUCACUUUUUGGGUUUCUUUUAGAUCUGGAGAUGAACAUCACUGCUUUGGCAUUCUAAUUCUCUUUUUGGGUUUUGACCUCUAUCAGGAUCUGUUUCUAGGUAUAUAUAGAGUCAUUGUUUACCAAAUUUUCACCAUGGGGGGAGCUCGUUCUAGGAAGAGAAACCAUCGAGAUGAUGAAGAUAGUUUUCGUAGAGGGAUUUCCAGAAGGAUACAUUGAAUGAGGAGGAAAAAGGGAGGGGGUUUCUCGGGUACAUUGAUCUAUAAAUCUGGAAGAAGAAGAGGUGGAGAAGAAGACCCAGCAGCAACAAUAACCACAACAACAACGAGGUUACUAGGAACAGCAGCAAAAGAAGAUCAUCGUCCAAAUCCUAUGCUCCUCUGCUCGAGUUGGUCUGUUUGUCAAGGGAGGAAUCCAAGUUCUAAUAACAACCAAUCUUGGUCGAAAUCUACAAGGGGUUCUAAAAGUGGGUGUUGAAGAAAAUCGAAUGUCAAUGCUAUAGGAUAUCGUUACUGUUUUGUUGAACUUCAAGUGUGUUUUGU
This is a long non-coding RNA of Rosa rugosa (rugosa rose), 647 nucleotides long. RefSeq lists it as uncharacterized. The transcript has 3 exons. NCBI's taxonomy places the organism in Eukaryota, Viridiplantae, Streptophyta, Magnoliopsida, Rosales, Rosaceae. The record is from RefSeq and is a predicted model, not a curated record.